AACACUCUUUGGUCGUAGAAUUCUGUUGGCAGCUGUGGGAGUCGCAGCCAGAUGGCCGUGUGGGUUUGGGUUGCAUCCUCGGGUACAAAACUCGGCUCCCAUUGUCGCACCGACAAAAAAUAUCUGGUAAUGAACUAGGGACCACCAUGUAAGGCUUUUAUUGCAUUUUUUGGUUUGCUGAACUUUGCCACAUAAAAAUCACAUUCGAG
Molecule: long non-coding RNA, 209 nt
Filed under: Capsicum annuum
Lineage: Eukaryota; Viridiplantae; Streptophyta; Magnoliopsida; Solanales; Solanaceae
Description: long non-coding RNA (CANN_LNC003121)
Source: RNAcentral